GUUUCGGCUCGGUACUGAAGUUAACACAUUAAGUACUCCGCCUGAGUAGUACGUACGCAAGUAUGAAACUUAAAGGAAUUGACGGGACCCCGCACAAGCGGUGGAUCAUGUUGUUUAAUUCGAAGAUACACGAAAAACCUUACCAGGUCUUGACAUAAUUUUGCGACAUUAUAGAAAUAUAAUGAAGGUUAUCAGAAUUACAGGUGGUGCAUGGUUGUCGUCAGCUCGUGUCGUGAGAUGUUAGGUUAAGUCCUAAAACGAGCGCAACCCUUGUCGUUAGUUGCGACCACGUAAUGGUGAGCACUUUAGCGAGACUGCCAAUGAAAAAUUGGAGGAAGGUGAGGAUUACGUCAAAUCAUCAUGCCCCUUAUGAUCUGGGCUACAAACGUGAUACAAUGGCUGUUACAAAGAGUAGCUACAACGUGAGUUUUUAGCCAAUCUCAAAAAAACAGUCUCAGUUCGGAUUGAAGUCUGCAACUCGACUUCAUGAAGUUGGAAUCGCUAGUAAUCGCGAAUCAGCAUGUCGCGGUGAAUACGUUCUCGGGGUUUGUACACACCGCCCGUCAAACCACGAAAGUUGAUAAUACCCGAAAGCGGUCGCCUAACUUCGUCAGAAGAGGGAGCCGUCUAAGGUAGGAUCGAUGAUUGGGGUUAAGUCGUAACAAGGUAUCCCUACCGGAAGGUGGGGAUGGAUCACCUCCUUU
Molecule: ribosomal RNA, 704 nt
Filed under: Candidatus Phytoplasma phoenicium
Lineage: Bacteria; Bacillati; Mycoplasmatota; Mollicutes; Acholeplasmatales; Acholeplasmataceae
Description: bacterial SSU rRNA
Rfam family: Bacterial small subunit ribosomal RNA
Source: RNAcentral